This 421-nucleotide long non-coding RNA is filed under the name Hordeum vulgare. Its description in RNAcentral is "long non-coding RNA (HVUL_LNC013365)". Lineage: Eukaryota; Viridiplantae; Streptophyta; Magnoliopsida; Poales; Poaceae. The record is from RNAcentral.
AGCAGCAACGCCUCCUCAGAGCCAUGCGAGAAAAACACCACCACCACCACCGCUGCUGCUGCUGAAUAAACCAUUCUUAUCUUCUCGUUUUAUUUAAGUUAACUACCAGGAUCGUUGAUUAUCAUCAUUAGUAGUAGUAUACCCAAAUAAGGCGUGCGUUGAGGGGGUCUGAUCGGCUUAAUCGUUUCUUAAUUUUAUUAUUAAGACUGGGGGUAAUAAUGCAUACCCUUAACUAGCUACGUACGUAUAUACUACUACUACUGCACAUUACUGUCAUCUUUUUUGGCAAAGUGCCAGUGGCUAGAUGAAUAUGGAUUGGGUGUUACUGACGAGUUGCCAUCAGUGGACAAUCUAUAAUGCAACAUGAUCGAUCACACGGACGAUGAAACAAGAAACCGCUGGAAACCAGUGUGGAAUGAGA